GGAGGAAAAGAAACUAACAAGGAUUCCCCUAGUAACGGCGAGUGAAGCGGGAAGAGCUCAAAUUUGUAAUCUGGCACUUUCAGUGUCCGAGUUGUAAUCUCGAGAAGUAUUUUCCGCGCCGGACUGCAUACAAGUCUGUUGGAAUACAGCGUCAUAGUGGUGAGAACCCCGUAACUGAUGCAGAUGCCCGGUGCUUUGUGAUAUACUUUCGAAGAGUCGAGUUGUUUGGGAAUGCAGCUCAAAUUGGGUGGUAAAUUCCAUCUAAAGCUAAAUAUUGGAGCAAGACCGAUAGCGAACAAGUACCGUGAGGGAAAGAUGAAAAGCACUUUGGAAAGAGAGUUAACAGUACGUGAAAUUGUUGGAAGGGAAACGCUUGAAGUCAGACUUGCUAUUCGGAGUUCAGCCGCAAGGUGUAUUCUUCGAUUUGCAGGCCAGCAUCAGUUUUCGGGGGUGGAAAAUCGUGGUUUGAAGGUAGCAACUUCGGUUGUGUUAUAGCUUUCCACUGGAUUCAUCUUUGGGGACUGAGGAACGCAGUACGCUUUUUGCAAGGCCCUCGGGCUUUUCGUACUUAGGAUGCUGGUGGAAUGGCUUUAAACGACCCGUCUUG
This 607-nucleotide ribosomal RNA is filed under the name Leucosporidium muscorum. RNAcentral's name for it is "eukaryotic LSU rRNA". It matches the Rfam family "Eukaryotic large subunit ribosomal RNA", at positions 52 to 656 of the family's 3401-position model. The record is from RNAcentral. Lineage: Eukaryota; Fungi; Basidiomycota; Microbotryomycetes; Leucosporidiales; Leucosporidiaceae.